Long non-coding RNA from Calidris pygmaea (Spoon-billed sandpiper), 208 nucleotides. The record is from Ensembl. NCBI's taxonomy places the organism in Eukaryota, Metazoa, Chordata, Aves, Charadriiformes, Scolopacidae.
UUUACCUCCUCCUUCUGAAGUGUUGUUCAUUGUGUUUUCUUCUUGCUAUUCCAGUUUAUUACAGCUGUAUGAACUCCUCAUGUUGACCGAGUAUGUACAAACAAGCAUGUAGACAUAUAUUAUCCUUCAGCUGAUUUGAAUAACUUCGGCUCACGAAUAAGUAUCUCAGCAGCUCUCGAGUGAUGGUGAUAGUGGAGCUAAAGGUGUC